ACAACAGUAGUAGUCUUGGGACUGACUAAGAGUGUAGCUGAUGGCAAUACAGUCUCUGUUACAGUUUUAACCUGACCAUUUGCAACUGUGGUUCUCUUAGAUGCCACCCCAAGCACAUACCUUUUUCCUUCACUGGACUUCAAUCUCAUUAUCCGAAGAAGAAAUGAUAAUAAUGCCUAUUCUCCGCAAAAAGUUGAAAGGUCAGAAGAUAACAUAUGUCCCCAACACAGCAAUAAAGGAGAAUGACUCUUUCCCUGAAUGUUCAGGAAAAGAAAAGUGAGACAGGAUGUGCUGACCACUUAGCAUCGUCUCUGGCCACGCCAUCAUUAAAUAAAAUGUGAUAUUGGUCACGGUGUUCACAGAGCAUCGAAGGACCAAAGAUACAUACACUCGUUCUAAUCUACUGAGGAGUUGGGGAAAUUGAUAUUCAAGUGGAGCCUUGGAGAGAAGCGCCCUUUUCUAGAUGUGCAAAGAGGAAAGGUACAUUCACAGGGGACCAGUGUGGGGCUGUUGUGAAGACUCAGAGAUAAAGAGGAUUUGAGGGAGAAUCCCACAGUGCUAUACAAUACUGAGAAACAGGAGUAAAAGUAAAGUUGAAAUAAAGUUUUGAAUAUCUUUGAAAACCAGGUUAGAAUAUAAAUGUGUUUUACCAUGCCAUGGGACACCAUUAAAGAUUUUAAUGAGAAA
Molecule: long non-coding RNA, 687 nt
Organism: Erinaceus europaeus (western European hedgehog)
Lineage: Eukaryota; Metazoa; Chordata; Mammalia; Eulipotyphla; Erinaceidae
Exons: 3
Source: RefSeq, a predicted model, not a curated record